This is a long non-coding RNA of Homo sapiens (human), 1049 nucleotides long. RefSeq lists it as uncharacterized. The transcript is spliced from 6 exons. NCBI's taxonomy places the organism in Eukaryota, Metazoa, Chordata, Mammalia, Primates, Hominidae. The record is from RefSeq and is a predicted model, not a curated record.
AAGGAAUUUGUACUUCCUGUAACUAUAACUUUAAGCUCUGCUGGAGGGGGUCCUGGUAUCCAGGGGGAAUUCCAAUAAAUAGAUGACAUAGUAAAAGUUCCACAAAACCUAAUUGUUGGACUGCUGCCUAAUUAUCUGACGCUUCUCCUGCCAAAAGACCAGCAAGCAAAACAAACAAAGUUACUAUAUUAGCAAGAAUAAUAGAACUUGAUUAUCAUCAAGAGCUAGGAAUGCUACUACCUGAUGGGGUUAAGAAGAAUUAUGUCUAAACUUUAAGAUAGUCCUUGGGGAAUCUCCUGGUGUUACUGUCAUGCGCGUCCAUGUGAAGAGAGUCCACCAAACAGGCUUUGUGUGAGCAACAAGGCUGUUUAUUUCACCUGGGCGCAGCAUUCACCAGGGCUUAGAAGACCCUGUGGCACCUGAAAGUGAAUGUGCAAUUGGAUUGGAGUUAUGCUGCAACAAUUAGCUGCUCAAUUGUGUGUUUAUUACAUAUACCAAGAUCACUUAAAUAACACUACAGGUCUUCCUCAAUGGUGAUUUUUAUUCUGAUGGAGAAGACAUGCCUGAAGUGUAUUGAGCAGAAGAGUGACAAGAUCUGACUAACCUGCUGCAGAACUAAACACCAAAAAAGCUUGAGUUUCUACUAAAUCGCUCUUGUGUUUCACUAGAGGUGGUUUCAGUUCAGCAACAAGGUGACCUCACAGCAGGAUAUUGAACCACUGCUGCUGUUUUAUGAACUUCUCAAGAGAUGAGAAUUCUGAAAGAAGGCCUUGAUUUUCUCAUAUUUUAUAAUAAUAUUCACUAAUUCAAUCAUUCAUCUGUUUUAUUCUUCAAUAAUAAUAAAUACGGUUUAAUUCAAAGAUAAAUUUAAAGAAGAGAAGAAAAAUGUUGGUUCCUGAAAUGCAGACAUUUAGGCAAUCUUCAAAACAUUUGCUUGAAUAAACAUUCAGACUUUAAUUUAGUGGCUUUGUUGCUGCCCAGUCUUUUGAAAGAUAUUUGAAAAUUCAGGAUACAUGUUUACAGAAGAGACAAACUUGACUUCAUUAUCU